GGCGGCAUAGCCAAGCGGUAAGGCACAGGUCUGCAAAACCUCGAUUCCCCGGUUCAAAUCCGGGUGCCGCCUCCA
This 75-nucleotide transfer RNA is filed under the name Soehngenia saccharolytica. Its description in RNAcentral is "tRNA-Cys". It matches the Rfam family "tRNA". From Rfam's summary of the family: Transfer RNA (tRNA) molecules are approximately 80 nucleotides in length. RNAcentral also lists the same sequence under 3 other names. The record is from RNAcentral. Lineage: Bacteria; Bacillati; Bacillota; Tissierellia; Tissierellales; Tissierellaceae.